AUGUUCACCAGAUUUUUAGGGACAGAAAGUUCAGGCCCAUCUCUUGCUGGAAGAAUUGCAAUGCCCCCUUCUCUCUCUUGUCAUUUCUGCAGGUGUGCACAUACACACUGCACUUCUGUUAUGUGUGGAAAUGAAAUGCCUCCUUCCAGCAGUUACCAGCUUGGAAGACAAAAUGUACUUCAGGGCUGUUUCCUGAACAAUUCCAGCUGCUGCAAAGAUAACACUGGUGAUAUAUAGAGCUGUAACACAGAGGAGGUCUACGCACCCACAACAAGAGUAGCAUCCAUUCAGAUGUGCCAGAAAUGCAAGGAUCAUCCUACACUCUUUCUCUCACUUUCACUGACAUUUUCUCUUCUUUUCAUUCUUAUCAUUUUCCUUUUCCCUUAAUCUGAAAGAUUUCAAAGGAAAAAUUUGUGUUCUGCCAUUUGCACAUGACCUUACGUGAACUUUAACAGACUUCAAGGAGGUGGUGAGGGGAAUAUAAACACAUAUGCUUUCUAAUCUGCUCAGCUCUUCAAUUAAAAAUUGAUAGGUGAAAUCUGCCUGCAGAAGUUGCCUGCCAUGAGUUUCUCUCCCCGUGCCACAGUCUUGGCGCUAGGGAACACCCGCUGGCCUCCUGUGAGAACGUGCAGAAAUGUGGCCUGGGAGGCAGGACCAUCCUCUGCCAAACACGUUGGCUGGGCACGUUUGCCAGACAACAGCUAGCCACUUUCUGAGCCUGUAAAAAUUUUGGAAAAGGGUUUCCUCCGCAUAGCUCAGGAGGAGGAGGCAGAACGGGCAGCUCCCUUCAGUACUGCACUAAUUCUGUUGCCUUUCAAGCACUGGGAGCAUUUCCCACCCAAGCAGCUUGUGCCAGAGCUGAGUGUUUUUGGCAAAGCCAGCCUGUCAGGCUCACUUGCUGUGGUGAGCCAGCAGCCAUCCUUGCAACUGGCAACGAGCUUUUCCCACUCAGACCCACAGAGAUCACUGCAGAAGCUGUUACUCAUCUCAUAGCAGGGCCAGAUACGUCCUUCUGAAACACUUUUUACCCCACAGGCAGUAAAACACUUUGGGUCACAGUCAGUUGGCCUGAGCUUCUGUGUCUGGUUGGCUCGGUGUAACAGCCUGCACUCCCAAGUACUUUUAGCCAUUGAAGUUUCCUCUUUGAAAUCUUCAGGUCCUUCCAGUACAGGUAAACCCUUGUAAAGUGUGAAUUUAGUACUGUGUAGUCUUGAAUUGUGGGAUUCUAUAGAUUAUA
This 1237-nucleotide long non-coding RNA is filed under the name Anser brachyrhynchus (Pink-footed goose). RNAcentral's name for it is "lncRNA (ENSABRG00000009466.1)". Lineage: Eukaryota; Metazoa; Chordata; Aves; Anseriformes; Anatidae. The record is from RNAcentral.